GCCAGAGUGGCAUAGUGGUUUGAGCAUUGGACUACGAUUCUAGAGACCAGGGUUCAAUUCCUGCUUGGCCA
Phrynosoma platyrhinos (Desert horned lizard) is the source of this 71-nucleotide non-coding RNA. The record is from the annotation of a GenBank genome assembly. NCBI's taxonomy places the organism in Eukaryota, Metazoa, Chordata, Lepidosauria, Squamata, Phrynosomatidae.